Molecule: ribosomal RNA, 1322 nt
Filed under: Staphylococcus aureus
Lineage: Bacteria; Bacillati; Bacillota; Bacilli; Caryophanales; Staphylococcaceae
Description: bacterial SSU rRNA
Rfam family: Bacterial small subunit ribosomal RNA
Source: RNAcentral
CUUGCUGUCACUUAUAGAUGGAUCCGCGCUGCAUUAGCUAGUUGGUAAGGUAACGGCUUACCAAGGCAACGAUGCAUAGCCGACCUGAGAGGGUGAUCGGCCACACUGGAACUGAGACACGGUCCAGACUCCUACGGGAGGCAGCAGUAGGGAAUCUUCCGCAAUGGGCGAAAGCCUGACGGAGCAACGCCGCGUGAGUGAUGAAGGUCUUCGGAUCGUAAAACUCUGUUAUUAGGGAAGAACAUAUGUGUAAGUAACUGUGCACAUCUUGACGGUACCUAAUCAGAAAGCCACGGCUAACUACGUGCCAGCAGCCGCGGUAAUACGUAGGUGGCAAGCGUUAUCCGGAAUUAUUGGGCGUAAAGCGCGCGUAGGCGGUUUUUUAAGUCUGAUGUGAAAGCCCACGGCUCAACCGUGGAGGGUCAUUGGAAACUGGAAAACUUGAGUGCAGAAGAGGAAAGUGGAAUUCCAUGUGUAGCGGUGAAAUGCGCAGAGAUAUGGAGGAACACCAGUGGCGAAGGCGACUUUCUGGUCUGUAACUGACGCUGAUGUGCGAAAGCGUGGGGAUCAAACAGGAUUAGAUACCCUGGUAGUCCACGCCGUAAACGAUGAGUGCUAAGUGUUAGGGGGUUUCCGCCCCUUAGUGCUGCAGCUAACGCAUUAAGCACUCCGCCUGGGGAGUACGACCGCAAGGUUGAAACUCAAAGGAAUUGACGGGGACCCGCACAAGCGGUGGAGCAUGUGGUUUAAUUCGAAGCAACGCGAAGAACCUUACCAAAUCUUGACAUCCUUUGACAACUCUAGAGAUAGAGCCUUCCCCUUCGGGGGACAAAGUGACAGGUGGUGCAUGGUUGUCGUCAGCUCGUGUCGUGAGAUGUUGGGUUAAGUCCCGCAACGAGCGCAACCCUUAAGCUUAGUUGCCAUCAUUAAGUUGGGCACUCUAAGUUGACUGCCGGUGACAAACCGGAGGAAGGUGGGGAUGACGUCAAAUCAUCAUGCCCCUUAUGAUUUGGGCUACACACGUGCUACAAUGGACAAUACAAAGGGCAGCGAAACCGCGAGGUCAAGCAAAUCCCAUAAAGUUGUUCUCAGUUCGGAUUGUAGUCUGCAACUCGACUACAUGAAGCUGGAAUCGCUAGUAAUCGUAGAUCAGCAUGCUACGGUGAAUACGUUCCCGGGUCUUGUACACACCGCCCGUCACACCACGAGAGUUUGUAACACCCGAAGCCGGUGGAGUAACCUUUUAGGAGCUAGCCGUCGAAGGUGGGACAAAUGAUUGGGGUGAAGUCGUAACAAGGUAGCCGUAUCGGAAGGUGCGGCUG